RNAcentral lists this long non-coding RNA (2674 nucleotides) under Lynx pardinus (Iberian lynx). The stretch from base 2391 to 2466 matches the Rfam family "mir-10 microRNA precursor family". Lineage: Eukaryota; Metazoa; Chordata; Mammalia; Carnivora; Felidae. The record is from RNAcentral.
UCCACUCCUCGGUGCGGCCUCCGGUGCGCGGGCCGGCUGGGGGCUCGCCUCCUCGACCCUUCGGUUUCUCUCCCUCGCUCUGUGCCCUCUCCCGGGCGACAAAAGGUAGACGGAUUCCGUGCGGGCUGGGCACGCCCGGGACAGCGAAGGGGGCUGAGCAGUGAGAGGUCACUCUAGCAACCUGUGGCUGCCCGGGGGGGAAGGCGGCCGGCGAGCCAGCGAGCGAGCGGGGAGUACAGGGGAGGUGGCUCGGGAUGCGCGCGCAAAGCUUUUUGCUUUUUCUUAUUUUUAUUAUGACUACUCCUGUUAGCAUUCUUUUGAGGGUGGAAGGGAGAGGCAGCCCCCGGUUUUGGUGAAAUCCGUCUAGGGAGUGGCUGAUAAACCUUGUCCUCCACCCAUCGCGGCUGCACUCGGCUGGUGGUGGGGGGGGGUGCGGCGCCUCGGUGGGAUGGGCAGGUGGCGGCUCCCAGCGCGCAGAAGAGAAAAUCUCUGCGCUCUGUCCCUAAGAUCAGCCAUACCCAGCCCCGCAGUGUCUCUGUCUCCCAUACCUCUCUCUUGGGGUGCUCCGAGCACCUGGGCUGCAUCCUUUGUGAAGUGCAGAGCAACAGAGAGGCCCGGUGGCCGGCCUAGCGGCCCUCCCCAAAUUCGGAAAAGCCGACUGAGUUGGACGGGUUUCAGAGAGCGAGCGAGUUGAGAAGGACAGGAGGUAUGGGGUGGGGGAGGGGCCUGGCCAGUUGGAAUGGGUCGUGGAACCCCUGACUAACUGGCCUUUGAUAAGACUUGGAAAGAUCCCUGCUUGAGGUCUCGGGGCUGGUGGGGGUCCUACCCAGGCAUUUUGUCUGUGGGCCCAGGGCCAGACUCUAGUAGUCUCUCUAGGUGCCCAUGUGGGGGGGUCUAUUGGACCCUCUCUUGGCAAAGAUCAUUAAAAUAUAAGUGUGGUGUGGUGUGGUGUGGGGGGUGUGUGUGUGUGUGUGAUUUUUCAAAUAUAUGCAAGUCAGCCUGGCUGGGCUGGGAGAGUGUUGUUGUUAGAAAUCAGGCCCGGAGGCCAAAAUUGGCAAUCUGGAUUUAGGAUAGAAAAUCAGAGGGUCUCUGGACAUAGUUUCUGGCAAGUGGGAGCACUCCUCCUACCCACCUGCAAGGGUCCCAGAAUUGUGGAUGGGCAGAGACUUCUGGAAUGUGAUGGUUAGAGGGUUGUUUUUGUGUGUGUGUGUUAUCGCUGUAUUUGUUAAUGAAAUUGAUAUGAUUCUGACUUGCUCACCAGGGAUGCAAGUAUUUCUCAGGGAGAUGGGUAGGGAGUCUGGGCAAGGCGGAGGCUUUCUCUGCGCCAAUUCCCCUAACCCUGUGCUGGCCCUCAGCAUUCAGUCUAGGACCCAGUUCCCUCCAGCCCAGUCCCCAGUCUCCCAGUUUAGUAUACUCAGCAGUUACUGGGACCGUCAGGAAGUUCAUUCAGAAACCCCAGGUUCCCCCAGGUUUCCCAGAUCCCCAUUUUGGUCGCACUGCCAGCGACCCUAGCAGGUGGCAGAAUGAGCAAAUUUAGACAGAGAGAGUCUGCCUGGGGCUAGGGAGGUGGGAGAAGCGGGGUUCCUCGCACACUUCAGGGAUUAUCCCCCUUUUCUGGCCCCAGGAGGUAUGGGAGUUUGGGAGGGGCCAGAAUAUCAUCUGGCUGCAUCUUUUAUGGUUCCUCAUUGCCCUUCAUUCGGAAAUGAAACGCCUUUGAUCUUUUUCUCAGGUUGUAAAUGGAAUUGCCCGUCAUUAAAUAUCCGGGGCCCCAUCUGUUUGGUCUCCCAGCAUUUUUCUUUACAGCUGUUUCUCUCUCUUUUUACCAUUGAAUUUUUCCAAAAGGACUUUUAUGACACCUCCUUCACACCCAGCCGCCUCUCCCUCCUCCCUUUGCUGAGAGGCGCCUUGGAAAAUAUCUAGAUAUUCGUUUGAUGGCAAACUAAAGGCUUCGAGGGGCAUGGAGGAACCGAUUGGGGUUUUGUUUUUCUUAAAAAAAAAAAAAAGUCCUGGGGGGAGGGGAGGGGCGCGAGGGCACCCAGAAGGGCCUGAUUCUGACUAUGCUGCAGCCUCAGGAUGACCCUUCCUCCUUUUGUGCUUAGCUAAUGUUUACAUCUCAUAAUUCAUGCGCCGCCCAGGGUUGCGCCGCGGCCGCGAGGUUCGCGUCCCUUUGCGGAACCGGCGGUUUCAAUUUCUCUCUGAUAGAAGAGAAAGAGAGUUGAAAACCUUGUAAUCCCCAAAAUGGACCCGCAGUGCCUUUUCCUGCUCCCAGAACUCAAAAGUAGAACAAAACGAAAUAAAAUCAAAGCACUGAAAUCACACCCCAAACGAGAAGAAGGCGCGCAAAGUGGGAGAACUGGAAAAUUUCUGGGCCAAGAAGAUCUGUCUGUCUUCUGUAUAUACCCUGUAGAUCCGAAUUUGUGUAAGGAAUUUUGUGGUCACAAAUUCGUAUCUAGGGGAAUAUGUAGUUGACAUAAACACUCCGCUCAUUUUUUUUCCGAAGAAAAAAAAAUUUUUUUCCCAAAUGAGGACCAUCCGGUGACUGACCACACGAAGACUCCUUCCUUUUUCUUUCUUCUUUCUUUUCCUCCCUUACUGGUUAGAGACAGAGGAAUCAUCUACCUGAAUUCUCCCACGCCUGCCCCUGGAAGGCUUGGUCCCUUUUCGCUUCUCUUAA